CACCAGCGCCACAAGUGGCAACCGCUUUUAUUGGGCCUAAAGCGUCCGUAGCCGGUUCAGUAAGUUUCCUGUGAAAUCGUUGGGCUUAACCUAACGCCGUGCAAGAAAGACUACUGGACUAGGGACCGGGAGGCGUCAGAGGUAUUCCUGAGGGAGCGGUAAAAUGCUAUAAUCUCGGGAGGACCACCUGUGGCGAAAGCGUCUGACGAGAACGGAUCCGACGGUGAGGGACGAAAGCUAGGGGAGCAAACCGGAUUAGAUACCCGUGUA
This 270-nucleotide ribosomal RNA is filed under the name uncultured prokaryote. RNAcentral describes it as "partial 16S ribosomal RNA". It matches the Rfam family "Archaeal small subunit ribosomal RNA", at positions 474 to 743 of the family's 1478-position model. The record is from RNAcentral.